CCACCUCCCAUCCGUGUCUAUCUGUACCCUGUUGCUUCGGCGUGGCCACGGCCCGCCGGAGACUAACAUUUGAACGCUGUCUGAAGUUUGCAGUCUGAGUUUUUAGUUAAACAAUCGUUAAAACUUUCAACAACGGAUCUCUUGGUUCCGGCAUCGAUGAAGAACGCAGCGAAAUGCGAUAAUUAAUGUGAAUUGCAGAAUUCAGUGAAUCAUCGAGUCUUUGAACGCACAUUGCGCCCCCUGGUAUUCCGGGGGGCAUGCCUGUCCGAGCGUCAUUGCUGCCCUCAAGCACGGCUUGUGUGUUGGGCUUCCGUCCCUGGCAACGGGGACGGGCCCAAAAGGCAGUGGCGGCACCAUGUCUGGUCCUCGAGCGUAUGGGGCUUUGUCACCCGCUCCCGUAGGUCCAGCUGGCAGCUAGCCUCGCAACCAAUCUUUUUAACCAGGUUGACCUCGGAUCAGGUAGGGAUACCCGCUGAACUUAAGCAUAUC
This 489-nucleotide ribosomal RNA is filed under the name Aspergillus chevalieri. Its description in RNAcentral is "eukaryotic LSU rRNA". The stretch from base 122 to 275 matches the Rfam family "5.8S ribosomal RNA". The record is from RNAcentral. Lineage: Eukaryota; Fungi; Ascomycota; Eurotiomycetes; Eurotiales; Aspergillaceae.